Long non-coding RNA from Oncorhynchus tshawytscha (Chinook salmon), 1419 nucleotides. The record is from Ensembl. Lineage: Eukaryota; Metazoa; Chordata; Actinopteri; Salmoniformes; Salmonidae.
CACAAGGCCUCUCGCUUCCCUCCAAUCAAGCCCCUGCAGGGCUCAAACCAGCGCACCAGUUCUGCCCACAGGCACCGCAUCAAGGAACUCAACAGUCAAGUGUGGGAGCUACUGCAGCAGCUGAGUGGUGUCGCCACAGAGAACAAGUUGCUAAAAUAGCUCCAGGGCCGCCACGCGGUGGUGCUACAGCGCUUCCAGGAUUCACAGAGUGGCCUUCCCCGGGUUCUGGCCAAGCACGGAAACGCGAUGCGGGCUCUGCAGGGGCUCCAGUGUAAAGCCCGCAACCGCCGCAACUGUCUAUCCAGGCGUCUGAGGGGCACAAAGGAGGAGCUGCUGCGCACCAAGGACGCUCUGUACCGGCUGCAGCUGCUCAGCGAGGACUGCAGCCUGGAAGAGAGGGAAGAGCUGAGCCACAGGCUGGCCCUGAUCACUGUGGACCCUACACAGGAAGAACAAGAGGAUACAGGACUUAGAAAGGAAUCUUGAGCUGAGACAGAUAUCCUUCAAUCACUCUCUUGCCACAGAAACAAGGAAGACCAAUGAAUCCAGAGAGCUGUCUGAUUACCUCCAGGCACAGAUCAAUCUGUUGACCAAAAAAAUCUAAGAAAGAGAGAGAGAAUUGGAGAUCCACAAAAUCUACUCACAUAGAUUUCCAAAAGGCUGGAACAGAAAAGGAGCAAGAGAAACUAAAUCUGUUCAAACAGAUGACAUAUCCUCUCUCCCCAUCGAGGCUCCGUGCCAAUUUGAACUAGUCUAUGCCUGUUCACUCCAGCAUCCGAAGUUGGAGAAGCAGAAGAGUUUGAGCUGGGAGUCCUUUGCAAUUGGCUUCCCAGACAGAAGUGACACAGCAGACCUGUUAGUGGAUGACAGAGGAUCAUACGAUAAUGAACAUUUUGCUGACGAUGGAGAGCUGCAUGGUGAUUAUGACAAGGAGGAUCCACAACUUUAGGGUGAGGAGUAUUGCCUUGCAGAGGAGGCAGCGAGUUCCCUCAAGGCUUCAGAAGGAGUGCAAACAGAGCCAUUUGAAAGCCAGGUCCGGUACACUCUGGAUGACUUUCAGAAUACAGAACGUGCCAACAUGGCCCUCAAAUCCCCUCCCAGGACCAAGCACCUCUACACAUUCAAAGAAACCAUCCAGAACCUACACAGUGGGAAGCCUGCCUAUGCCAGCCAUAGCCAAAGCCUGAGAAAAAGCCCUCCUAAAUACAUCAAGAGCCAGGCCAGGGUGGAGAACCUGGGGUCUAGGGCGUAUGAGCCCUCCUUCACUCUACCAGCAGAGAAGUGCCAAAGGCGUGACACCAUGGACCCUCAACCCGGAAGAUGGCGUAGUCCGCAGCAAGAAGAGUAUCUUGAUGAAAGAGCUUUUUGGCCAGGCCCUAAUCACUGAUCCAAAUGGCCAUGCAGACAGGCAGAUCCAGA